This 354-nucleotide ribosomal RNA is filed under the name Triticum aestivum (bread wheat). RNAcentral describes it as "partial small subunit ribosomal RNA". The record is from RNAcentral. Lineage: Eukaryota; Viridiplantae; Streptophyta; Magnoliopsida; Poales; Poaceae.
AUGUCUCCCCGCAUUUCUUUCAUGGGAAUAAAACUGGCCUUCAUUCGACGUCGAAUCCCUUCUCCUGGAGCUCCUGCACCACCUCGUUGCCCAUCCAGAACCACAGCUUGCGCGCCUCCUGGUCGAAUUUCUUCGACUGCAGCUGCUUCUGCAUGUUGUCUGAGUCCAUGUUGGCGUCCGCAAACCCCUUGGGAGAGGAAGGUUUCACCAAUCCCUGUCGAUAAAUCGACAAUUCCCAAUGCAACAUGUUCAUGUGGCACAUUGGACGAGAUUUCAAUAGUAGGAGAAGUGUUAUUUUUAGAAGUUUCUUAUGUCUCAGUAGCACAUAUAUCCGGCUAUUUUGUCAGACACUGA